CAUGCCGAGCUGGUAGCAGAACUCGUAAAUUCGCUGCUGCAAACUUAUAGUUGCCAACGACGACAACUACGCUCUAGCUGCUUAAUGCGGCUAGCAGUCGCUAGGGGAUGCCUGUAAACCCGAAACGACUGUCAGAUAGAACAGGAU
This 147-nucleotide transfer-messenger RNA is filed under the name Escherichia coli. RNAcentral's name for it is "partial transfer-messenger RNA". It matches the Rfam family "transfer-messenger RNA", at positions 46 to 201 of the family's 374-position model. Rfam says of the family: Bacterial tmRNA, also known as 10Sa RNA or SsrA, is named for its dual tRNA and mRNA-like properties. Its role is to liberate the mRNA from a stalled ribosome. Lineage: Bacteria; Pseudomonadati; Pseudomonadota; Gammaproteobacteria; Enterobacterales; Enterobacteriaceae. The record is from RNAcentral.